RNAcentral lists this ribosomal RNA (952 nucleotides) under unidentified. Its description in RNAcentral is "Polylabris cf. mamaevi DCC-2019 partial large subunit ribosomal RNA". It matches the Rfam family "Eukaryotic large subunit ribosomal RNA", at positions 32 to 671 of the family's 3401-position model. The record is from RNAcentral.
AUUUACAUAUCAAUAAGCGGUGGAAAAGAAACUAACCAGGAUUCCCCUAGUAACGGCGAGUGAACAGGGAUUAGCCCAGCACCGAAGUCUGCGUUCGUUUGGACGUUGGACAAUGUGGUGUUUAGGUUGGCAUUUUUGAAUGUCGCUCCGUUUAAAGUCCAUUCUUGAAUAUGGCUAAUAGUUUGGCCCAGAGAGGGUGAAAGGCCCGUGUGGAUGGAGUGAUGUUUAACUGUGUUAACUAUGGAGUCGGGUUGUUUGAGAAUGCAGCCCAAAGUUGGUGGUAAACUCCAUCUAAGGCUAAAUACUGGCACGAGUCCGAUAGCGAACAAGUACCGUGAGGGAAAGUUGAAAAGUACUCUGAAGAGAGAGUUAACAGUGCGUGAAACCGCUUAGAAGCAAACGGGUGUAGUCAAGCUGCAAGCCUUCAGAAAUAGGUGGGCCAGAAUGGCGUGAGUCUGAGCACAUAGAACUGGCAAAUUGGUUCGAUUUUAUGUCGAGUUUGGCUCUUCGGGGUCGAAUUUGCGAAGCGUGUACGCGAUGCAAGCCGUUUUGCUGGGUGUUCUGCUGGCCCUCUCACUUUCUGUUGGCGUAUGUCACGACCGUCUCUGCUGUCGGUCUGCUCUGUUCAAACCGGAUUGUGAGUAGUUACCCACUGCUUGCGUUUCGGAGGCAGGUAGCUGGUCUGGUCUCGGCUGGAUCGGUGUAAUUGCUGAAUGGAGUGGUAUCUGUAACUGUGCAGUAAGAUGGAACAGGCGGUGCAUUGUAGCUGGUCGAGCUAAAGUGUGCUGGUGUGGUUGGUGUAUGGCUGCUUGUUGCUGUUAAUAACAGCCUGGCGGUUGCCCGACUGCGGUUUAGUGCACGGCUUCGUCUGGUCAAUCUUUGCGUUGUGCCUAUAGUCUGUGGCGUAGUGGUAGACGAUCCACCCGACCGUCUUGGAGAGGGCGGACCAAAA